Leptonychotes weddellii (Weddell seal) is the source of this 102-nucleotide small nuclear RNA. Lineage: Eukaryota; Metazoa; Chordata; Mammalia; Carnivora; Phocidae. The record is from RefSeq and is a predicted model, not a curated record.
AAGAGUGCUCGCUUCAGCACUAAAAUUGGAACAAUACAGAGAAGAUUAGUAUGCCCCCGGCACGAAGAUGACACACAAAUUUAUGAAGCAUUCCAUAUUUUA